Molecule: non-coding RNA, 72 nt
Organism: Danionella cerebrum
Lineage: Eukaryota; Metazoa; Chordata; Actinopteri; Cypriniformes; Danionidae
Source: the annotation of a GenBank genome assembly
UUUCCUGUGGAUUAGUCAGUAGAGCAUUGCGCUAGCAACACAAAGGUCAUGGGUUCUAUCCCUUAGGGAAAG